CCCGUCUUGCCUUAUGAGGUGGUAGAUUCCAACUGACAUUUCAAUUUUCAAAGCCUCUGCUAUGCUGUUUGAGUCUGCUCUGGCAUGUAUCAUUGAAAGAAUUUUCCUGGUUAUUCCAACUCAUGUGUCCAUGCAGCUGCACCAGGUGACUGUUCUGCAGAACCACAUUCUUGAGUCCAGCCUCAUUUCUGUGACUAACAAAGUAGCAACUGGCCAUAUCUGAACCUUUGCUUUACUGACAAUGCAGAGUAAAACCUCUAGAAGGUCUUCAGGUUUUUGAUCAAUUGGAGCUAUUUUAAUGCUUGUGAAGCCGAAAAUUCAGGAGGAUUCCUUUUCCACUGAGCUUGAUAGCUUGGGUGUUUGGUGGCUGAUAAGAGGGCUCAGUGCCGCCAAUAUUGUAACAAGAACUUACAGGGGCACCUUUGCUACAAAGCACUGACUCUUCACUUGGGCCUGAAAAAGCCCAAUGGGUAACUGAAAGUGGUAUAAAGCUGGGCAUUUCUGCCUUCAUUUUAUAUCGGUCUUCUUUAUUAUCUUAAAUGUUGACUAAGCUUCCUGCUCAGCUCUCACAUAGGCAGGUUACUCAUCUAAGGAGUGUUCAUCUAAAGCUGGUAAUCUACCCCCUUCAAGGCUGAAGACACCAAGAGAACAGGGACUCAGGCAUUUGUAAGAUUUGAAGGGACAUUCAACUGCCAGCUUUUACAGUGUCCUGUUCCAAACCCCUGAAAACAGGGUACAGAAGCCGUCAGUCAUAUCCAUUCAUCUUCCAGGAACAGGGGAGCCUUAAACACCCCAUGAUGAGACUGCCACCCUAAGGAGGACAGAUCAUCACAUGGGAACUGAAUUUCCCUCUCCUAGGAUCACAAGUCUGAUAAGAGGACAUCUCCAAAGCAAACGGAGACUUACUGCUCAUUUAGCAGUAAGGACUUCUCCAGAGUCACGCAUAGAAACAGAACUGAGAUAAUGAUCAACAAGACCACAGUUUGACCAAGACUACUUAUUUAUGCAUACUAUUCUUUCCUACCCCCAUUUAUGCCUACUCCUCUUUUCUUCCUCUAUUUAAACCUAAAGCUCAUGUUAGUAUACCUGAAGUUAGGGCUGUGCCACUUACUUGCCUUCCU
Ictidomys tridecemlineatus (thirteen-lined ground squirrel) is the source of this 1121-nucleotide non-coding RNA. NCBI's taxonomy places the organism in Eukaryota, Metazoa, Chordata, Mammalia, Rodentia, Sciuridae. The record is from RefSeq and is a predicted model, not a curated record.